RNAcentral lists this ribosomal RNA (459 nucleotides) under uncultured bacterium. Its description in RNAcentral is "partial 16S ribosomal RNA". It matches the Rfam family "Bacterial small subunit ribosomal RNA", at positions 338 to 795 of the family's 1533-position model. The record is from RNAcentral.
CCUACGGGUGGCUGCAGUGAGGACUAUUGGUCAAUGGGCGGGAGCCUGAACCAGCCAAGUCGCGUGAGGGAUGACGGCCCUAUGGGUUGUAAACCUCUUUUGCCGGGGCACAAAGAGUCGCACGUGUGCGGGUUGGAGAGUACCCGGAGAAAAAGCAUCGGCUAACUCCGUGCCAGCAGCCGCGGUAAUACGGAGGAUGCGAGCGUUAUCCGGAUUUAUUGGGUUUAAAGGGUGCGUAGGCGGACGCUUAAGUCAGCGGUAAAAUUGCGGGGCGCAACCUCGUCGAGCCGUUGAAACUGGCUGCCUCGAGUGGGCGAGAAGUACGCGGAAUGCGUGGGGUAGCGGUGAAAUGCAUAGAUAUCGCGCAGAACUCCGAUUGCGAAGGCAGCGUACCGGCGCCCAACUGACGCUGAAGCACGAAGGCGUGGGUAUCGAACAGGAUUAGAUACCCGAGUAGUC